AUUCUUUUUUUUUAGUUUAUAAGUGUGAUGAUUAGGUUUUCACACUUGUGUGAGAUGUGCCUUCCUCAAACCUUGUUACAAUAUCUGCACAUUGCCCAUCGGACA
Macaca fascicularis (crab-eating macaque) is the source of this 105-nucleotide small nucleolar RNA. Lineage: Eukaryota; Metazoa; Chordata; Mammalia; Primates; Cercopithecidae. The record is from Ensembl.